GAUGAACGCUGGCGGCGUGCCUAAUACAUGCAAGUCGAGCGAACGGACGAGAAGCUUGCUUUUCUGAUGUUAGCGGCGGACGGGUGAGUAACACGUGGAUAACCUACCUAUAAGACUGGGAUAACUUCGGGAAACCGGAGCUAAUACCGGAUAAUAUUUUGAACCGCAUGGUUCAAAAGUGAAAGACGGUCUUGCUGUCACUUAUAGAUGGAUCCGCGCUGCAUUAGCUAGUUGGUAAGGUAACGGUUUACCAAGGCAACGAUGGAUAGCCGACCUGAGAGGGUGAUCGGCCACACUGGAACUGAGACACGGUCCAGACUCCGACGGGAGGCAGCAGUAGGGGUGCUUCCGCAAGGGGCGAAAGCCUGACGGAGCAACGCCGCGUGAGUGAUGAAGGUCUUCGGAUCGUAAAACUCUGUUAUUAGGGAAGAACAUAUGUGUAAGUAACUGUGCACAUCUUGACGGUACCUAAUCAGAAAGCCACGGCUAACUACGUG
This 497-nucleotide ribosomal RNA is filed under the name uncultured bacterium. RNAcentral's name for it is "partial 16S ribosomal RNA". It matches the Rfam family "Bacterial small subunit ribosomal RNA", at positions 28 to 507 of the family's 1533-position model. The record is from RNAcentral.